UUGGAGCCGGCGUCCUCUACCCUCAUCUCAUUCCCCGACGCCGCCCUCUCCCCCUCGGUGCUCUACUGGUCAGCGUCUUCUCCCUGCCCGACGUUUCUGGCGCCAUGGCCACCACGCCUCGGGUCGCCUGCUCCACUGCGCCGAUCCACCCAUCUCCCUGCUGUCGCUCUCCCAUGGCGCAUCGCUGCAUCUUGCUUCAGCUUGCUCUACCAUCUCCCUUGGCGCCCUAGCCCCAACGUCGAGCUCACUACCCGGCCGUGCCCCUGGUGGUUGAGCUCACCGAGCUUCCUUUUCUAUCGCUCGUCCUCGCCCAUUCGACGCCCUCAUCUCAAGCCAGUCCAGCCUCUCUACUCGCCACUCUCCCCUAUCCCCUUGCUGUUAGCACAUGGCGAGCUAACCCCAUGUGCCAGUAGAGUUCGUCAUUCCCUGAGCAGCACCUCCCUCCAUGGAUGUCUCGUUGUCGACUUGUGCAGUUCAUAUUUAUCGGGGAAAUCCAAUGAUUUGGUGGAGAAGAAGCACAGUUCAAUUUGA
RNAcentral lists this unclassified non-coding RNA (531 nucleotides) under Zea mays. RNAcentral's name for it is "misc RNA Zm00001eb417590". The record is from RNAcentral. Lineage: Eukaryota; Viridiplantae; Streptophyta; Magnoliopsida; Poales; Poaceae.